RNAcentral lists this long non-coding RNA (248 nucleotides) under Setaria viridis. RNAcentral describes it as "long non-coding RNA (SVIR_LNC008636)". The record is from RNAcentral. Lineage: Eukaryota; Viridiplantae; Streptophyta; Magnoliopsida; Poales; Poaceae.
GGGAGGAAGCGAUAAAAAAUACCGAUUUUUCAUGUUAAACACAAUAUAUGGAGGUGUGAUGCAAUAUGAAAAAGUAUGAAUGUGGAUGAAAUAGUGUAAUGUGUAAUUACUAAUUAAAAGUUAAUAAAAUUGACAAAGAUAAGUACACAUUCAUAUAAGUAUUGUAUUAGAAUAUUAAAUAAAAUAGAGAACCAUGCAUAAACAAUUUUGAUUAUUAGCUAGGGGUGUAAUUUUUAAAUAACUCUCUG